GGAAUUUUGGGCAAUGGGCGAAAGCCUGACCCAGCAACGCCGCGUGAAGGAUGAAAUCCCUCGGGAUGUAAACUUCGCAAGAACGGGGAGAAUAAGCCGGUGUGAACAUCACCGGCGAUGACGGUACCGUUUGUAAGCUCCGGCUAACUCCGUGCCAGCAGCCGCGGUAAUACGUAGGGUGCGAGCGUUAAUCGGAAUUACUGGGCGUAAAGCGUACGCAGGCGGUCUCGUAAGACAGGUGUGAAAUCCCCGGGCUCAACCUGGGAACUGCGCUUGUGACUGCGAGGCUGGAGUGUGGCAGAGGGAGGUGGAAUUCCACGUGUAGUAGUGAAAUGCGUAGAGAUGUGGAGGAACACCGAUGGCGAAGGCAGCCUCCUGGGCCAACACUGACGCUCAUGCACGAAUGCGUGGGGAGCAAAC
Molecule: ribosomal RNA, 420 nt
Filed under: uncultured bacterium
Lineage: Bacteria
Description: bacterial SSU rRNA
Rfam family: Bacterial small subunit ribosomal RNA
Source: RNAcentral